This 446-nucleotide ribosomal RNA is filed under the name uncultured bacterium. RNAcentral describes it as "partial 16S ribosomal RNA". It matches the Rfam family "Bacterial small subunit ribosomal RNA", at positions 330 to 792 of the family's 1533-position model. The record is from RNAcentral.
CCCAGACUCCUACGGGAGGCAGCAGUGGGGGAUAUUGCACAAUGGGGGGAACCCUGAUGCAGCGACGCCGCGUGGGUGAAGGAGUAUUUCGGUAUGUAAAGCCCUAUCGGCAGGGAAGAAGCAAGACGGUACCUGACUAAGAAGCCCCGGCUAACUACGUGCCAGCAGCCGCGGUAAUACGUAGGGGGCGAGCGUUAUCCGGAUUCACUGGGUGUAAAGGGAGCGUAGACGGCCAAGCAAGCCAGGGGUGAAAGCCCGGGGCCCAACCCCGGGACUGCCCUUGGAACUGCUUGGCUGGAGUACAGGAGGGGCAGGCGGAAUUCCUGGUGUAGCGGUGAAAUGCGUAGAUAUCAGGAGGAACACCGGUGGCGAAGGCGGCCUGCUGGACUGCGACUGACGUUGAGGCCCGAAAGCGUGGGGAGCAAACAGGAUUAGAUACCCCAGUA